Molecule: ribosomal RNA, 253 nt
Filed under: uncultured bacterium
Lineage: Bacteria
Description: partial 16S ribosomal RNA
Rfam family: Bacterial small subunit ribosomal RNA
Source: RNAcentral
UACGUAGGUGGCAAGCGUUGUCCGGAAUUACUGGGUGUAAAGCGCGCGUAGGCGGUAGGCCAAGUCUGCUGUGAAAUCGCCCGGCUCAACUGGGCGCGGUCGGUGGAAACUGGUCAACUGGAGGACGGUAGAGGCGAGUGGAAUUCCCGGUGUAGUGGUGAAAUGCGUAGAGAUGCGGAGGAACACCGAUGGCGAAGGCAGCCCCCUGGGCUAACACUGACGCUCAGGCACGAAAGCGUGGGGAGCAAACAGG